GAUGAAGAACGCAGCGAAAUGCGAUAAGUAAUGUGAAUUGCAGAAUUCAGUGAAUCAUGGAAUCUUUGAACGCAUCUUGCGCUCCUUGGUAUUCUGAGGAGCAUGCCUGUUUGAGUGUCAUUAAAUUCUCAACUACACUGACUUUGAAUUGGUGUGGCUUGGAUUUGGGGGGAAAAUUGUUGUGGGCUUUUUGUAUAGUCUGCUCCCCUGAAAUUGAUUAGCGGUACCUUUGUGGAACUGUCUACAGGUGUGAUAAUUAUCUACAUCUUAGACAUCUGCUGGAAUGCUGCUUUCUAAACCUUACUUGUAUUGACAAUCUUGACCUCAAAUCAGGUAGGACUACCCGCUGAACUUAAGCAUAUCAAUAAGCGGAGGA
This 376-nucleotide unclassified non-coding RNA is filed under the name soil metagenome. RNAcentral's name for it is "partial contains 5.8S ribosomal RNA, internal transcribed spacer 2, and large subunit ribosomal RNA". The stretch from base 1 to 120 matches the Rfam family "5.8S ribosomal RNA", at positions 35 to 154 of the family's 154-position model. The record is from RNAcentral.